GGGUUGUGAGGUUAAGCGACUAAGCGUACACGGUGGAUGCCCUGGCAGUCAGAGGCGAUGAAGGACGUGCUAAUCUGCGAAAAGCGUCGGUAAGGUGAUAUGAACCGUUAUAGCCGGCGAUGUCCGAAUGGGGAAACCCAGUGCAAUUCGUUGCACUAUCGUUAACUGAAUACAUAGGUUAACGAGGCGAACCGGGGGAACUGAAACAUCUAAGUACCCCGAGGAAAAGAAAUCAACCGAGAUUCCCCCAGUAGCGGCGAGCGAACGGGGAGCAGCCCAGAGUCUGAAUCAGCUUGUGUGUUAGUGGAACGGUCUGGAAAGUCCGACGGUACAGGGUGAUAGUCCCGUACACCAAAAUGCACAGGUUGUGAACUCGAAGAGUAGGGCGGGACACGUGGUAUCCUGUCUGAAUAUGGGGGGACCAUCCUCCAAGGCUAAAUACUCCUGACUGACCGAUAGUGAACCAGUACCGUGAGGGAAAGGCGAAAAGAACCCCGGCGAGGGGAGUGAAAAAGAACCUGAAACCGUGUACGUACAAGCAGUGGGAGCACCUUCGGGUGUGACUGCGUACCUUUUGUAUAAUGGGUCAGCGACUUAUAUUCUGUAGCAAGGUUAACCGUAUAGGGGAGCCGCAGGGAAACCGAGUCUUAACUGGGCGUUAAGUUGCAGGGUAUAGACCCGAAACCCGGUGAUCUAGCCAUGGGCAGGUUGAAGGUUGGGUAACACUAACUGGAGGACCGAACCGACUAAUGUUGAAAAAUUAGCGGAUGACUUGUGGCUGGGGGUGAAAGGCCAAUCAAACCGGGAGAUAGCUGGUUCUCCCCGAAAGCUAUUUAGGUAGCGCCUCGUGAAUUCAUCUUCGGGGGUAGAGCACUGUUUCGGCUAGGGGGUCAUCCCGACUUACCAACCCGAUGCAAACUACGAAUACCGAAGAAUGUUAUCACGGGAGACACACGGCGGGUGCUAACGUCCGUCGUGAAGAGGGAAACAACCCAGACCGCCAGCUAAGGUCCCAAAGUCAUGGUUAAGUGGGAAACGAUGUGGGAAGGCACAGACAGCCAGGAUGUUGGCUUAGAAGCAGCCAUCAUUUAAAGAAAGCGUAAUAGCUCACUGGUCGAGUCGGCCUGCGCGGAAGAUGUAACGGGGCUAAACCAUGCACCGAAGCUGCGGCAGCGACACGAUGUGUUGUUGGGUAGGGGAGCGUUCUGUAAGCCUGCGAAGGUGUGCUGUGAGGCAUGCUGGAGGUAUCAGAAGUGCGAAUGCUGACAUAAGUAACGAUAAAGCGGGUGAAAAGCCCGCUCGCCGGAAGACCAAGGGUUCCUGUCCAACGUUAAUCGGGGCAGGGUGAGUCGACCCCUAAGGCGAGGCCGAAAGGCGUAGUCGAUGGGAAACAGGUUAAUAUUCCUGUACUUGGUGUUACUGCGAAGGGGGGACGGAGAAGGCUAUGUUAGCCGGGCGACGGUUGUCCCGGUUUAAGCAUGUAGGCUGGUUGUCCAGGCAAAUCCGGAUAAUCAAGGCUGAGGUGUGAUGACGAGGCACUACGGUGCUGAAGUAACAAAUGCCCUGCUUCCAGGAAAAGCCUCUAAGCAUCAGGUAACAUCAAAUCGUACCCCAAACCGACACAGGUGGUCAGGUAGAGAAUACCAAGGCGCUUGAGAGAACUCGGGUGAAGGAACUAGGCAAAAUGGUGCCGUAACUUCGGGAGAAGGCACGCUGGUGUGUAGGUGAAGUCCCUGCGGAUGGAGCUGAGACCAGUCGAAGAUACCAGCUGGCUGCAACUGUUUAUUAAAAACACAGCACUGUGCAAACACGAAAGUGGACGUAUACGGUGUGACGCCUGCCCGGUGCCGGAAGGUUAAUUGAUGGGGUUAUCCGUAAGGAGAAGCUCUUGAUCGAAGCCCCGGUAAACGGCGGCCGUAACUAUAACGGUCCUAAGGUAGCGAAAUUCCUUGUCGGGUAAGUUCCGACCUGCACGAAUGGCGUAAUGAUGGCCAGGCUGUCUCCACCCGAGACUCAGUGAAAUUGAACUCGCUGUGAAGAUGCAGUGUACCCGCGGCAAGACGGAAAGACCCCGUGAACCUUUACUAUAGCUUGACACUGAACAUUGAGCCUUGAUGUGUAGGAUAGGUGGGAGGCUUUGAAGCGUGGACGCCAGUCUGCGUGGAGCCAACCUUGAAAUACCACCCUUUAAUGUUUGAUGUUCUAACGUUGGCCCCUGACCGGGGUUGCGGACAGUGUCUGGUGGGUAGUUUGACUGGGGCGGUCUCCUCCCAAAGCGUAACGGAGGAGCACGAAGGUUAGCUAAUCCUGGUCGGACAUCAGGAGGUUAGUGCAAUGGCAUAAGCUAGCUUGACUGCGAGCGUGACGGCGCGAGCAGGUGCGAAAGCAGGUCAUAGUGAUCCGGUGGUUCUGAAUGGAAGGGCCAUCGCUCAACGGAUAAAAGGUACUCCGGGGAUAACAGGCUGAUACCGCCCAAGAGUUCAUAUCGACGGCGGUGUUUGGCACCUCGAUGUCGGCUCAUCACAUCCUGGGGCUGAAGUAGGUCCCAAGGGUAUGGCUGUUCGCCAUUUAAAGUGGUACGCGAGCUGGGUUUAGAACGUCGUGAGACAGUUCGGUCCCUAUCUGCCGUGGGCGCUGGAGAAUUGAGGGGGGCUGCUCCUAGUACGAGAGGACCGGAGUGGACGCAUCACUGGUGUUCGGGUUGUCAUGCCAAUGGCACUGCCCGGUAGCUAAAUGCGGAAGAGAUAAGUGCUGAAAGCAUCUAAGCACGAAACUUGCCCCGAGAUGAGUUCUCCCUGAGACUUUAAGUCUCCUGAAGGAACGUUAAAGACGAUGACGUUGAUAGGCCGGGUGUGUAAGCGCAGCGAUGCGUUGAGCUAACCGGUACUAAUGAACCGUGAGGCUUAACCUUACAACGCCGAAG
This 2923-nucleotide ribosomal RNA is filed under the name Klebsiella pneumoniae. RNAcentral's name for it is "23S ribosomal RNA". It matches the Rfam family "Bacterial large subunit ribosomal RNA". The record is from RNAcentral. Lineage: Bacteria; Pseudomonadati; Pseudomonadota; Gammaproteobacteria; Enterobacterales; Enterobacteriaceae.